GAUGAACGCUGGCGGCGUGCCUAAUACAUGCAAGUCGAACGAAACUUCUUUAUCACCGAGUGCUUGCACUCACCGAUAAAGAGUUGAGUGGCGAACGGGUGAGUAACACGUGGGCAACCUGCCCAAAAGAGGGGGAUAGCACUUGGAAACAGGUGCUAAUACCGCAUAACCAUAGUUACCGCAUGGUAACUAUGUAAAAGGUGGCUAUACUACCGCUUUUGGAUGGGCCCGCGGCGCAUUAGCUAGUUGGUAGGGUAAAGGCUUACCAAGGCAAUGAUGCGUAGCCGAAUUGAGAGGUUGAUCGGCCACAUUGGGACUGAGACACGGCCCAAACUCCUACGGGAGGCAGCAGUAGGGAAUCUUCCACAAUGGGCGAAAGCCUGAUGGAGCAACGCCGCGUGGGUGAAGAAGGUCUUCGGAUCGUAAAACCCUGUUGUUAGAGAAGAAAGUGCGUGAGAGUAACUGUUCACGUUUCGACGGUAUCUAACCAGAAAGCCACGGCUAACUACGUG
RNAcentral lists this ribosomal RNA (512 nucleotides) under uncultured bacterium. RNAcentral describes it as "partial 16S ribosomal RNA". It matches the Rfam family "Bacterial small subunit ribosomal RNA", at positions 28 to 507 of the family's 1533-position model. The record is from RNAcentral.